GACGAACGCUGGCGGCGUGCUUAACACAUGCAAGUCGAACGGAAAGGCCCUGCUUUUGUGGGGUGCUCGAGUGGCGAACGGGUGAGUAACACGUGAGUAACCUGCCCUUGACUUUGGGAUAACUUCAGGAAACUGGGGCUAAUACCGGAUAGGAGCUCCUGCUGCAUGGUGGGGGUUGGAAAGUUUCGGCGGUUGGGGAUGGACUCGCGGCUUAUCAGCUUGUUGGUGGGGGAGUGGCUUACCCAGGCUUUGACGGGUAGCCGGCCUGAGAGGGUGACCGGCCACAUUGGGACUGAGAGACGGCCCAGACUCCUACGGGAGGCAGCAGUGGGGAAUAUUGCACAAUGGGCGGAAGCCUGAUGAAGCAACGCCGCGUGCGGGAUGACGGCCUUCGGGUUGUAAACCGCUUUCGCCUGUGACGAAGCGUGAGUGACGGUAAUGGGUAAAGAAGCACCGGCUAACUACGUG
This 468-nucleotide ribosomal RNA is filed under the name uncultured bacterium. RNAcentral's name for it is "partial 16S ribosomal RNA". It matches the Rfam family "Bacterial small subunit ribosomal RNA", at positions 28 to 507 of the family's 1533-position model. The record is from RNAcentral.